RNAcentral lists this transfer RNA (74 nucleotides) under Perkinsus olseni. RNAcentral's name for it is "tRNA-Val". It matches the Rfam family "tRNA". Rfam says of the family: Transfer RNA (tRNA) molecules are approximately 80 nucleotides in length. Their secondary structure includes four short double-helical elements and three loops (D, anti-codon, and T loops). Further hydrogen bonds mediate the characteristic L-shaped molecular structure. tRNAs have two regions of fundamental functional importance: the anti-codon, which is responsible for specific mRNA codon recognition, and the 3' end, to which the tRNAs corresponding amino acid is attached (by aminoacyl-tRNA synthetases). tRNAs cope with the degeneracy of the genetic code in two manners: having more than one tRNA (with a specific anti-codon) for a particular amino acid; and 'wobble' base-pairing, i.e. permitting non-standard base-pairing at the 3rd anti-codon position. The record is from RNAcentral. Lineage: Eukaryota; Perkinsozoa; Perkinsida; Perkinsidae.
GCUGGAAUGGUCUAGUUGGUUAUGACGACUGCCUAACACGCAGUAGGUCCCGAGUUCGACUCUCGGUUUCAGUA